CAGUCGCCGCGGGAAUACGUAAGUGGCAAGCGUUGUCCGGAAUUAUUGGGCGUAAAGCGCGCGCAGGCGGAUAGGUCAGUCUGUCUUAAAAGUUCGGGGCUUAACCCCGUGAUGGGAUGGAAACUGCCAAUCUAGAGUAUCGGAGAGGAAAGUGGAAUUCCUAGUGUAGCGGUGAAAUGCGUAGAUAUUAGGAAGAACACCAGUGGCGAAGGCGACUUUCUGGACGAAAACUGACGCUGAGGCGCGAAAGCCAGGGGAGCGAACGGGAUUAGAUACCCCCGUAGUCCCUGUCUCUUAUACA
RNAcentral lists this ribosomal RNA (301 nucleotides) under uncultured bacterium. Its description in RNAcentral is "partial 16S ribosomal RNA". It matches the Rfam family "Bacterial small subunit ribosomal RNA", at positions 509 to 809 of the family's 1533-position model. The record is from RNAcentral.